This 429-nucleotide ribosomal RNA is filed under the name Verrucomicrobiota bacterium. RNAcentral describes it as "Verrucomicrobia bacterium partial 16S ribosomal RNA". It matches the Rfam family "Bacterial small subunit ribosomal RNA", at positions 355 to 776 of the family's 1533-position model. The record is from RNAcentral. Lineage: Bacteria; Pseudomonadati; Verrucomicrobiota.
UGGGGAAUUUUGGACAAUGGGGGCAACCCUGAUCCAGCCAUGCCGCGUGCAGGAUGAAGGUCGUCGGAUUGUACACUGCUUUUGUCAGGGAAGAAAAGUUUAGAGCGAAUAACUCUGAAUGCUGACGGUACCUGAAGAAUAAGCACCGGCUAACUACGUGCCAGCAGCCGCGGUAAUACGUAGGGUGCAAGCGUUAAUCGGAAUUACUGGGCGUAAAGCGUGCGCAGGCGGUUGUGUAAGAUGGGUGUAAAAGCACCGGGCUCAACCCUGAACGAACAUCUGAUACUGACAGACUUGUGUAUGGAAGAGGUAAGUGGAAGUCCUAGUGUAGCGGUGAAAUGAGUAGAUAUUAGGAGGAACACCAGUGGCGGAGGCGACUUACUGGGCCAUAACUGACGCUGAGGCGCGAAAGCGUGGGGGGCAAACAAG